This 468-nucleotide ribosomal RNA is filed under the name uncultured bacterium. RNAcentral describes it as "partial 16S ribosomal RNA". It matches the Rfam family "Bacterial small subunit ribosomal RNA", at positions 28 to 507 of the family's 1533-position model. The record is from RNAcentral.
GACGAACGCUGGCGGCGUGCUUAACACAUGCAAGUCGAACGGAAAGGCCCUGCUUUUGUGGGGUGCUCGAGUGGCGAACGUGUGAGUAACACGUGAGUAACCUGCCCUUGACUUUGGGAUAACUUCAGUAAACUUGGGCUAAUACCGGAUAGGAGCUCCUGCUGCAUGUUGGGGGUUGGAUAGUUUCGGCGGUUGGGGAUGGACUCGCGGCUUAUCAGCUUGUUGGUGGGGUAGUGGCUUACCAAGGCUUUGACGGGUAGCCGGCCUGAGAGGGUGACCGGCCAAAUCGGGACUGAGAUACGGCCCAGCCUCCUACGGGAGGCAGCAGUGGGGAAGAGUGAAUAAUGGGCGGAAGCCUGAUGCAGCGACGCCGCGAGCGGGAUGACGGCAUUCGAGUUGUAAAACGCUUUCGCCUGUGACGAAGCGUGAGUGACGGUAAAGGGUAAAGAAGCACCGGCUAACUACGUG